This 69-nucleotide transfer RNA is filed under the name Ictidomys tridecemlineatus (thirteen-lined ground squirrel). RNAcentral describes it as "Spermophilus tridecemlineatus (thirteen-lined ground squirrel) tRNA". It matches the Rfam family "tRNA". From Rfam's summary of the family: Transfer RNA (tRNA) molecules are approximately 80 nucleotides in length. Their secondary structure includes four short double-helical elements and three loops (D, anti-codon, and T loops). The record is from Rfam by way of RNAcentral. Lineage: Eukaryota; Metazoa; Chordata; Mammalia; Rodentia; Sciuridae.
GGGGUUGUGGCUCAGCGGUAGAGCACUCACCUGGCACCGGUGAGGCACUGGGUUCAAUCCUCAGCACCA